CAUGCAAGUCGAGCGCCCCGCAAGGGGAGCGGCAGACGGGUGAGUAACGCGUGGGAAUCUACCCUUUUCUACGGAAUAACGCAGGGAAACUUGUGCUAAUACCGUAUGAGCCCUUCGGGGGAAAGAUUUAUCGGGAAAGGAUGAGCCCGCGUUGGAUUACCUAGUUGGUGGGGUAAAGGCCUACCAAGGCGACGAUCCAUAGCUGGUCUGAGAAGAUGAUCAGCCACAUUGGGACUGACACACGGCCCAAACUCCUACGG
RNAcentral lists this ribosomal RNA (260 nucleotides) under Rhizobium sp. USDA 1114. RNAcentral's name for it is "partial 16S ribosomal RNA". It matches the Rfam family "Bacterial small subunit ribosomal RNA", at positions 54 to 344 of the family's 1533-position model. Lineage: Bacteria; Pseudomonadati; Pseudomonadota; Alphaproteobacteria; Hyphomicrobiales; Rhizobiaceae. The record is from RNAcentral.